This 301-nucleotide ribosomal RNA is filed under the name uncultured bacterium. RNAcentral's name for it is "partial 16S ribosomal RNA". It matches the Rfam family "Bacterial small subunit ribosomal RNA", at positions 509 to 807 of the family's 1533-position model. The record is from RNAcentral.
CAGCCGCCACGGUAAUACGUAGGUGGCAAGCGUUGUCCGGAAUUAUUGGGCGUAAAGGGCUCGCAGGCGGUUUCUUAAGUCUGAUGUGAAAGCCCCCGGCUCAACCGGGGAGGGUCAUUGGAAACUGGGAAACUUGAGUGCAGAAGAGGAGAGUGGAAUUCCACGUGUAGCGGUGAAAUGCGUAGAGAUGUGGAGGAGCACCAGUGGCGAAGGCGACUCUCUGGUCUGUAACUGACGCUGAGGAGCGAAAGCGUGGGGAGCGAACAGGAUUAGAUACCCGGGUAGUCCCUGUCUCUUAUAC